UUUACCAUAUAAAUAUUAUAUUGGAUUAUUGUUACAUCCUACCAACAGUCUUAAUUUACUACAAUUACUUAUAAAAACUUUGAAUAUUCCCGGUAAAAACAUGCAUCUGAUCGUUUUACAACUCCCAAAUUCGGCUUGGUUGGGUUUGUUUGCAUCCCCUUUUAUACCAGCUUUUUAGAGCAUAUAUAGAGAAACCAGAGACUAUAUCUUCUUCUCCUUUUUUUUUUUCGGGGGAAGGUUAGAGCUAAGGGGUGGGUGAGUUACAGUUUAAUUUUAUGGUUACUAGUUUUGAUAUAAAAACAUAUAUAGGAAAAUUGUAUGUUGAAGGUGCAAAUUAAUUUCCUAUGGUGUCUGAGAAUUUUGCAGUUACUUAUUGAAUACAAUGUGUAUAUUUGUGUGUUGGGAAAACAGGUGGAGUUCUGGAUCUGUGUUUUGCUGACUCUCUUUGGAUGGCUGCCUGGUAUUGUCUAUGCUGUUUGGGUCCUAACCAAGUGAUCCAAUCAUCUUCCUUAAUUCCUUAUGGUGGAUAUGUGAAUUUAGGCCAUUAUCAAGUCUCUUCAUUUCCUUUAUUUCUUUUUUCUUUUGUAUUUUCAAUAGAGAAACUAUUGAAUUGAUAGAGUGUUGAUGAAGCCAUGUAUCAUCGUAUUUCAAUGUCUUCAUUACAUUGGUUGUAAGUCGCUUGGAUUCUAAUGUUCACUUCUAUUAUGUUAUUUUAAUUGGAUAUACUAAUAAUUUCUAUUAUUAUAAUAUUAUGGUUUCUCCUUG
This is a non-coding RNA of Nicotiana tabacum (common tobacco), 765 nucleotides long. NCBI's taxonomy places the organism in Eukaryota, Viridiplantae, Streptophyta, Magnoliopsida, Solanales, Solanaceae. The record is from RefSeq and is a predicted model, not a curated record.